CCUACGGGAGGCAGCAGUGAGGAAUAUUGGUCAAUGGACGAGAGUCUGAACCAGCCAAGUAGCGUGCAGGAUGACGGCCCUAUGGGUUGUAAACUGCUUUUGUACGGGGAUAAAACGUUCUACGUGUGGGUGUCUGUAUGUACCAUACGAAUAAGGAUCGGCUAACUCCGUGCCAGCAGCCGCGGUAAUACGGAGGAUCCGAGCGUUAUCCGGAUUUAUUGGGUUUAAAGGGAGCGUAGGCGGUUGGUUAAGUUAGAUGUGAAAGUCUGAGGCUCAACCGUGGAAUUGCAGUUGAAACUGGCCGUCUUGAGUGCAGGUGAGGUAGGCGGAAUGCGUGGUGUAGCGGUGAAAUGCUUAGAGAUCACGAAGAACACCGAUUGCGAAGGCAGUUUACCGGGCUACGACUGACGCUGAGGCUCGAAAGUGUGGGUAUCAAACAGGAUUAGAUACCCUUGUAGUC
RNAcentral lists this ribosomal RNA (460 nucleotides) under uncultured bacterium. RNAcentral's name for it is "partial 16S ribosomal RNA". It matches the Rfam family "Bacterial small subunit ribosomal RNA", at positions 338 to 795 of the family's 1533-position model. The record is from RNAcentral.